GCGGCAUGCCUUACACAUGCAAGUCGAACGGCAGCAUGAUCUAGCUUGCUAGAUUGAUGGCGAGUGGCGAACGGGUGAGUAAUACAUCGGAACGUGCCCUGUAGUGGGGGAUAACUAGUCGAAAGAUUAGCUAAUACCGCAUACGACCUGAGGGUGAAAGUGGGGGACCGCAAGGCCUCAUGCUAUAGGAGCGGCCGAUGUCUGAUUAGCUAGUUGGUGAGGUAAAGGCUCACCAAGGCGACGAUCAGUAGCUGGUCUGAGAGGACGAUCAGCCACACUGGGACUGAGACACGGCCCAGACUCCUACGGGAGGCAGCAGUGGGGAAUUUUGGACAAUGGGCGAAAGCCUGAUCCAGCAAUGCCGCGUGUGUGAAGAAGGCCUUCGGGUUGUAAAGCACUUUUGUCCGGAAAGAAAUGGCUCUGGUUAAUACCUGGGGUCGAUGACGGUACCGGAAGAAUAAGGACCGGCUAACUACGUGCCAGCAGCCGCGGUAAUACGUAGGGUCCAAGCGUUAAUCGGAAUUACUGGGCGUAAAGCGUGCGCAGGCGGUUGUGCAAGACCGAUGUGAAAUCCCCGAGCUUAACUUGGGAAUUGCAUUGGUGACUGCACGGCUAGAGUGUGUCAGAGGGGGGUAGAAUUCCACGUGUAGCAGUGAAAUGCGUAGAGAUGUGGAGGAAUACCGAUGGCGAAGGCAGCCCCCUGGGAUAACACUGACGCUCAUGCACGAAAGCGUGGGGAGCAAACAGGAUUAGAUACCCUGGUAGUCCACGCCCUAAACGAUGUCAACUAGUUGUUGGGGAUUCAUUUCCUUAGUAACGUAGCUAACGCGUGAAGUUGACCGCCUGGGGAGUACGGUCGCAAGAUUAAAACUCAAAGGAAUUGACGGGGACCCGCACAAGCGGUGGAUGAUGUGGAUUAAUUCGAUGCAACGCGAAAAACCUUACCUACUCCUUGACA
Molecule: ribosomal RNA, 958 nt
Filed under: uncultured Ralstonia sp.
Lineage: Bacteria; Pseudomonadati; Pseudomonadota; Betaproteobacteria; Burkholderiales; Burkholderiaceae
Description: bacterial SSU rRNA
Rfam family: Bacterial small subunit ribosomal RNA
Source: RNAcentral